AUGGCUGAGUUAAACAGCUUCCUCGUGAGAUUGAUGUGUGUGUUCUACCUUCAGUCUGUGUGUGUGUGUUCUACCUUCAGUCUGUGUGUGUGUGUGUUCUACCUUCAGUCUGUGUGUGUGUGUGUUCUACCUUCAGUCUGUGUGUGUGUGUGUUCUACCUUCAGUCUGUGUGUGUUCUACCUUCAGUCUGUGUGUGUGUGUGUGUUCUACCUUCCAGUCUGUGUUGUGUGGUGUUCUACCUUCAGUCUGUGUGUGUGUGUUCUACCUUCAGUCUGUGUGUGUGUGUGUGUGUGUUCUACCUUCAGUCUGUGUGUGUGUGUGUGUGUACCUUCAGUCUGUGUGUGUGUGUGUUCUACCUUCAGUCUGUGUGUGUGGUGUGUUCUACCUUCAGUCUGUGUGUGUGUGUGUGUGUUCUACCUUCAGUCUGUGUGUGUGUGUGUGUGUUCUACUUCAGUCUGUGUGUGUGUGUGUGUUCUACCUUCAGUCUGUGUGUGGUGUGUGUGUUCUACCUUCAGUCUGUGUGUGUGUGUGUGUGUGUUCUACCUUCAGUCUGUGUGUGUGUGUGUUCUACCUUCAGUCUGUGUGUGUGUGUUGUGUGUUCUACCUUCAGUUGUGUGUGGUUUCUACCUUCAGGCUGUGUGUGUUUCUACCUUCAGUCUGUGUGUGUGUUCUACCUUCAGUCUGUGUGUGUGUUUCUACCUUCAGUCUGUGUGUGUGUUCUACCUUCAGUCUGUGUGUGUGUUCUACCUUCAGUCUGUGUGUGUGUUCUACCUUCAGUCUGUGUGUGUGUUCUACCUUCAGUCUGUGUGUGUGUUCUACCUUCAGUCUGUGUGUGUGUUCUACCUUCAGUCUGUGUGUGUGUUCUACCUUCAGUCUGUGUGUGUGUUCUACCUUUCAGUCUGUGUGUGUGUUCUACCUUCAGUCUGUGUGUGUGUUCUACCUUCAGUCUGUGUGUGUGUUCUACCUUCAGUCUGUGUGUGUGUUUCUACCUUCAUUGGGUUCUGUGUGUUGUGUUCUACCUUCAGUCUGUGUGUGUGUUCUACCUUCAGUCUGUGUGUGUGUUCUACCUUCAGUCUGUGUGUGUGUGUUCUACCUUCAGUCUGUGUGUGUGUCUACCUUCAGUCUGUGUGUUGUGUUCUACUUCAGUCUGUGUGUUGUGUUCUUAACCUUCAGUCUGUGUGUGUGUGUUCUACCUUCAGUCUGUGUGUGUGUGUUCUACCUUCAGUCUGUGUGUGUGUGUUCUACCUUCAGUCUGUGUGUGUGUGGUUCUACCUUCAGUCUGUGUGUGGUGUGUUCUACCUUCAGUCUGUGUGUGUGUGU
RNAcentral lists this long non-coding RNA (1320 nucleotides) under Oncorhynchus kisutch (coho salmon). RNAcentral's name for it is "lncRNA (ENSOKIG00005039162.1)". The record is from RNAcentral. Lineage: Eukaryota; Metazoa; Chordata; Actinopteri; Salmoniformes; Salmonidae.